CGGCUAAAGAUAAAACAAUAUUUUUAGACAACAGGACAAUUACUGAAUGGCUUCUACUACCUCCAAGAAUUACUUGGAAGCAUUUAGAAUCUAGUGACCGCUCAGUUUCUGUUAUUCCUGGAAUUUUACUUCUAAUAUUCCUUCGUUUUGUUUUUGAACGUUUUGUUUUUUAUAAACUUGGUUUAUGGUUGGGUAUUCCGAAACCUUCUCAACGAUAUGAGCCAAAUAAAAUACUUGAAGAUGUUUUUCGGAAAAGACGAAGGAAAAAAAUAGAUGGCCUAACAAUUAGUCAACUUUCUCGGUCCACUGGAAAAACUGAAUACGAACUUAAAAUUUGGUUUAGAAAAAGAAACAAAGCGGCACUUACUCCUAAAAUUAAUAAAUUUUCGGAAUCUCUUUUUCGAUUUUU
Molecule: long non-coding RNA, 409 nt
Organism: Zophobas morio
Lineage: Eukaryota; Metazoa; Arthropoda; Insecta; Coleoptera; Tenebrionidae
Exons: 4
Source: RefSeq, a predicted model, not a curated record